This is a long non-coding RNA of Empidonax traillii (willow flycatcher), 279 nucleotides long. RefSeq lists it as uncharacterized. The transcript is spliced from 4 exons. The record is from RefSeq and is a predicted model, not a curated record. NCBI's taxonomy places the organism in Eukaryota, Metazoa, Chordata, Aves, Passeriformes, Tyrannidae.
UCAGCGGCCCCCCCCGGGGAAAGGGGCUGCCCGCCCGCCCGUCCCCUUUUCCUCCGAGGCCAUGGAGAAAGACAAGCAGUUUAAGCUGUUCGUGCCGCCGCGUCUGAGCUCUGGGCAGCUGCCUGCGGUCAGAAGCCAGGGUUUUAACAAAUGCCCAGGGGACGAUUUUAAGUUGCCAUUCCGUACCCUGAACCGUGGGGAAAUCACAGAUCCAGCUACACUGUCACAGCAAGUAAAACUUUGCUCUGAAGUAGAUGAAGAGAAUAUAGAAACAAUGAA